Molecule: ribosomal RNA, 245 nt
Filed under: uncultured bacterium
Lineage: Bacteria
Description: partial 16S ribosomal RNA
Rfam family: Bacterial small subunit ribosomal RNA
Source: RNAcentral
GUAACGCGUGGGUAACCUGCCUCAUACAGGGGGAUAACAGUUAGAAAUGACUGCUAAUACCGCAUAAGCGCACAGUGCUGCAUGGCACAGUGUGAAAAACUCCGGUGGUAUGAGAUGGACCCGCGUCUGAUUAGCUAGUUGGUGGGGUAACGGCCUACCAAGGCGACGAUCAGUAGCCGGCCUGAGAGGGUGAACGGCCACAUUGGGACUGAGACACGGCCCAAACUCCUACGGGAGGCAGCAUG